RNAcentral lists this transfer RNA (61 nucleotides) under Mutela dubia. Its description in RNAcentral is "tRNA-Gly". Lineage: Eukaryota; Metazoa; Mollusca; Bivalvia; Unionida; Mutelidae. The record is from RNAcentral.
UACUAGUAGUAUAAACGUACAUGCCUUCCAAGCAAAAAGACCAAACUAAACGGCUAGUAUA